This 361-nucleotide long non-coding RNA is filed under the name Eutrema salsugineum. Its description in RNAcentral is "long non-coding RNA (ESAL_LNC001722)". Lineage: Eukaryota; Viridiplantae; Streptophyta; Magnoliopsida; Brassicales; Brassicaceae. The record is from RNAcentral.
CUAGUCUUUGAUCCAUCUUCACGUGUGUGUUUUUGAGCAGCUUUGUUCUUGAUUCUGGACUUGUGACAAUGGACCUCGGGAUAAAAUGCUGAGGCGCUUGGACGUCGAGGGGCUCGGGAGAACAGGGUCCGGCAUGCACGCCGAGGUCGCUACACCGAGGUGCAUGUUCAACACUUAGUCGUUUCCAGCUCCUUUCUUACGUGUGCAUGCCUUGAUCCCAACGUGCCGAGGUAUCUGUACGAGGCCUAGCUCAGGAUACUUCCAAAAUAUGAGCCUCGACUUGGCCGAUGUCGAGGUAAUGAUGCCGAGCUCUGAAGAAACACUUAGCGCGUAUCGCAACAUAUUUGGGCCCGUAUCGACC